UCACUCCUUUUGGAGUCCUUCUGUGAGCUCAGGACACAGUGGCUACAGCUGAAGUUGAAGAUGACAUCUCUGGGUGCAGGCAUGUUCACUGAAGCAGAUGACUCUCAUCCACGUUGUCACUCUACCAGUGUUCACAAGUGGUCAGUACAGUUUAGCAAGGAGAGAAAAAGAUGGGAAUGGAACAAGAAAACCAUUUAUGGUUUCUGAUUUCCUACCUUCAAGGAAAUAGUCUGAUGGACAGAAGCACUACUUGGAGAAGAGAUAUCUGCUACACAGCAUUCUGUGAACUCAGGAUCACAGUGAGUAGGGAAG
This is a long non-coding RNA of Gallus gallus (chicken), 312 nucleotides long. Lineage: Eukaryota; Metazoa; Chordata; Aves; Galliformes; Phasianidae. The record is from Ensembl.